Molecule: transfer RNA, 69 nt
Filed under: Tepuihyla edelcae (white-lipped bog-frog)
Lineage: Eukaryota; Metazoa; Chordata; Amphibia; Anura; Hylidae
Description: tRNA-Arg
Rfam family: tRNA
About the family: Transfer RNA (tRNA) molecules are approximately 80 nucleotides in length.
Source: RNAcentral
GAGGAGGUAGUCUAAAAAAAACAACUGAUUUCGACUCAGUAAAUUAUGGCUCAAAUCCAUACCCCCUCU